UUGAUUUAACUCUGGGGAUUUUGCUGUGUACAUAAUGAGAAACAACUUGUUUCUAAGUUGGUGAUAAAUGCUCUUAUCAUACUCUAAUCACAGAAGUAACAAGAAAAGUGCGUGACAAAUCUUUAGAUAUAAACUGUAAAUAUGGAAAACAAUAUGUAAACAAUGUUUGUGUGGAUCUUGCAUUAAAAUAUUAAUAUGAGCAAACUUGGUCAUAUAAUUUUAGAAUGGCAUGAUGAUAAUAAACUAAACAAUAAAUGUGAAUCAAAAACGAUUAAACACAACGUUAAACGUUAAACACAAAAUUCUGCAGGUCCUAGAAUGAGUGAAGAUAGAGUGUAGUCAGGCAACUAGCCUAUUGUUUACAAAUCCAAUACACUUUCAACAUUUUACAGAAAUGACAAAAAUAUUUAAAAUAUAAAAGUGUAGUAAUAUCAUUACUAUGUAUACUAUUCAGCAGCUAUUAUUCUUAAACUAUACACAUGUAACUGAUGGUAGCAUAAAUAUCAAACAUAUAAUAUAUGGCUCAGGGUAAUAUCAAUCCUGUUUUCAUCAUGCUUGUAGAGGUACCUACACUGUUUAAUAGUUUGGAAAGAUUGUAAUGUUUUGAAAUACAAAGCACAAUGUCUGUUAAUAAGACAAUUCCAAUUAAAUAUUGUUAAUCUGUCGUUUUUAUGUCUAAGGGGAUGCUGGGGUGCUCUAUUUAAGUAAAGCACAAUUCAUACAAAAACAUCAGUGUUAUACUGUUGUCAUGUAUCCUGCGCCUGCUGUUUACGUCUACUCACCACCAGAGGUCACCCGUUCACCAUUAAGACUUUUUCAAGGCACACACAGUUACAGGUUUCUUCGGACUACAUUUCCCAUGUUCCAUUGCCCUAAUCACUUCCACACCUGUAGUCUAUCACAGGGACUAUAAAGCACUGACUCGCAAGCUCACCGACUGCUGAGUAUUGUUAGCAUUUCUCACUGUCUAGCUGAUAGCAACUUUAUGGAGCCUAUCCUAGUGUUCAUAGUCUAGUCUAGUCUAGUCUAGUCUAGUCUUGCUUUUGGUUGUUUGCCCUGUGUUUUGAUCCUUGCCUGGUUUCCCAUGUUUUUGCCUAUCCUCUGCCUUCCCUGGAUUCUUGCUUGCUUUGGAUUACUUUUCUCGUCUUGCCCUGUUAGGAUACUGUUUGCCCCAUGCCUGGACCCUAGCCUGGAUAUCUGGAUUACCCUCUAGCCUUGCCUUUUGGAUUACAUUCUUCGGUUGUUGACCCUCACCUGUUCCUGGGAUGCUCUUUGUCUUGCCCAAAUCAUGCCUGUUUGACUCUGUUUGACCCCUGCCUGUUCUGAACAUGUUUUUGUAAAUUAAAAGCUUUUGCAUAUGGAUCCGCACGCCUCUUGUCACAGUCCCUCUGUAAUUGUGAUGCACUCUCAGCUGAUGAACUCUCGUCCUGUCCUGAAUCAGCCAUGGAGGCUGUUUGUGAACAUUCAUCUUGUCUUGAACCGGCCGAGGAUGCCAUCUAUGAACUGCCAACCUGUUCUGGACUGGCCAAGCAGGCCAUCUAUGAACUCCCGCCCAGUCCUGAACCAACCACAGAGGUCUCAGUCUUUGCCAUGGGUCCCUGAUCCGUCUGCUCUGCCGGGGUGGUAUUCUGCCCUGCUCUGGUGGUCUUCUGCUCUGCUGUGGUGAUUUUCUACGUCAUUUGCUCUGCCGUGGUGGUCUUCAGUCCCGCUCUGGUCUUACAUCACACCUGCUCCAUUGAGGUGCUCUUCAGCCUCGACUGCACUGCUGUGGUGGUCAUCUGCUCCGCCGCAGAGGUCUUCAGCCCUGACUGCACUGCUGUGGAGGUCAUCUGCUCUGCCAUGGAGGUUUUCAAGCCCGUCCCAGGGGGGCACUCUGUCACGUAUUCUGCGCCUGCUGUUUACGUCUACUCACCACCAGAGGUCACCCGUUCACCAUUAAGACUUUUUCAAGGCACACACAGUUACAGGUUAAUUCGGACUACAUUUCCCAUGUUCCAUUGCCCUAAUCAUUCCACACCUGUAGUCUAUCACAGGGACUAUAAAGCACUGACUCACAAGCUCACCGGCUGCCAAGUAUUGUUAGCAUUUAUCACUGUCUAGCAGAUAGCAACUUUACAGAGUCUAGUCUAGUCUAGUCUAGUCUAGUCGCCCUGUGUUUUGAUCCUUGCCUGGUUUCCCAUGGACCCUAGCCUGGAUAUUUGGAUUACCCUCUAGCCUUGCCCUUUGGAUUACGUUCUUCGGUUGUUGACCCUCGCCUGUGCCUGGAAUGCUUUGUCUUGCCCAAAUCAUGCCUGUUUGACUCCGUUUGACCCCUGCCUGUUCUUAACAUGUUUUUGUAAAUUAAAAGCUCUUUCAUAUGGA
Molecule: long non-coding RNA, 2361 nt
Organism: Ctenopharyngodon idella (grass carp)
Lineage: Eukaryota; Metazoa; Chordata; Actinopteri; Cypriniformes; Xenocyprididae
Exons: 2
Source: RefSeq, a predicted model, not a curated record